UACGAAGGGGGCUAGCGUUGCUCGGAAUUACUGGGCGUAAAGGGCGCGUAGGCGGAUCGUUAAGUCAGAGGUGAAAUCCCAGGGCUCAACCCUGGAACUGCCUUUGAUACUGGCGAUCUUGAGUAUGAGAGAGGUAUGUGGAACUCCGAGUGUAGAGGUGAAAUUCGUAGAUAUUCGGAAGAACACCAGUGGCGAAGGCGGCCUUCUGGCCUUAACCUGACGCUGAGGAGCGAAAGCUAGGGGAGCAAACAGG
RNAcentral lists this ribosomal RNA (253 nucleotides) under uncultured microorganism. RNAcentral's name for it is "partial 16S ribosomal RNA". It matches the Rfam family "Bacterial small subunit ribosomal RNA", at positions 524 to 776 of the family's 1533-position model. The record is from RNAcentral.